RNAcentral lists this ribosomal RNA (468 nucleotides) under uncultured bacterium. RNAcentral describes it as "partial 16S ribosomal RNA". It matches the Rfam family "Bacterial small subunit ribosomal RNA", at positions 28 to 507 of the family's 1533-position model. The record is from RNAcentral.
GACGAACGCUGGCGGCGUGCUUAACACAUGCAAGUCGAACGGAAAGGCCCUGCUUUUGUGGGGUGCUCGAGUGGCGAACGGGUGAGUAACACGUGAGUAAACUGCCCUUGACUUUGGGAUAACUUCAGGAAACUGGGGCUAAUACCGGAUAGGAGCUCCUGCUGCAUGGUGGGGGUUGGAAAGUUUCGGCGGUUGGGGAUGGACUCGCGGCUUAUCAGCUUGUUGGUGGGGUAGUGGCUUACCAAGGCUUUGACGGGUAGCCGGCCUGAGAGCGUGGCCGGCCACAUUGGGACUGAGGUACGGCGCAGACUGCUACGGGAGGCAACAGUGGGGAGUAUGGCACAGUGGGCGCAAGCCUGAUGCAGCAGCGCCGCGUGCGGGAUGCCGGCCUUCGGGUUGUGAACCGCUUUCGCCUGUGACGAAGCGUGAGUGACGGUAAUGGGUAAAGAAGCACCGGCUAACUACGUG